GACGAGCGCUGGCGGCGUGCUUAACACAUGCAAGUCGAACGGAAAGGCCCUGCUUUUGUGCGGUGCUCGAGUGGCGAACGGGUGAGUAACACGUGAGUAACCUGCCCUUGACUUUGGGAUAACUUCAGGAAACUGGGGCUAAUACCGGAUAGGAGCUCCUGCUGCAUGGUGGGGGUUGGAAAGUUUCGGCGGUUGGGGAUGGACUCGCGGCUUAUCAGCUUGUUGGUGGGGUAGUGGCUUACCAAGGCUUUGACGGGUAGCCGGCCUGAGAGGGUGACCGGCCACAUUGGGACUGAGAUACGGCCCAGACUCCUACGGGAGGCAGCAGUGGGGAAUAUUGCACAAUGGGCGGAAGCCUGAUGCAGCAACGCCGCGUGCGGGAUGACGGCCUUCGGGUUGUAAACCGCUUUCGCCUGUGACGAAGCGUGAGUGACGGUAAUGGGUAAAGAAGCACCGGCUAACUACGUG
RNAcentral lists this ribosomal RNA (468 nucleotides) under uncultured bacterium. Its description in RNAcentral is "partial 16S ribosomal RNA". It matches the Rfam family "Bacterial small subunit ribosomal RNA", at positions 28 to 507 of the family's 1533-position model. The record is from RNAcentral.